CAGAGACUUGGAGGGAAAAAAAACAUGGCGGACAGUAUGAAAAGUUGGCAGAAACUGUCUAGACCAGAGUGGCUUCAUUAACCAAGAGAAACGACAACAGAGCGACGUGCAACGUUUGCGGAGCAGUGAUAACACGCAAAGGUGGAAACACCAGCAAAACACGCUUAAACAUUUGUCGACGGGGCACGGCAUCAAAUAUAAGGAGUCACGUGAAUUCGACGCGCUCCGCCGGUCGUCAUGGAAGGUAAGUAUAUCCUGUGUCAAGGUAAGCACAAUGCGUACCAGAUUUGACAACUUCCUCUUUUACCUGUACAUGCUCUCUUUUUUGAAGCUGUCCGGCCUGUCCGGGGGAGUUUAUAAAAUCCUUAAAAUGUCCGCGGUUUUGUCUGGAAGUUUAAAGUUUGUAUAGCGUGGAUUAACUGAGUUAGAAGCGCGUAAAAAACACUCGAACCGACCCGAAAAACCCUCAGAAUUUAGCGCGCGACUCCUCCCCGCGUAAUGGUGUCCUCUUUUGGGGGAUCCAGAAUAUGGUCACCCUAAUUUGACUUAAUACCGACCCAAGUAGAUGCUGUACAAACAGUACAGUACAGUUUGUUUCAUCAGAGACCCAAUAAAAUUCUGAGUUAACAGUGAAAACCUAUAGUCUGCUUUUUUAAAGUCAAAGAAAGCCAUUGAUAAGGGAAUCAUUAAAGAAUUGAAUCGAUAAGCAGAAUCGAUAAUGCACUCAGUAUCGCAUGGACUACAAAGUUUAUUGUAUCCUAUCAUAUGUAUCCCAGCAGUUAAUGCUUGAUUUGCAUGCAUCACAUUUGUUGAUUUUCCUUGUUUUCUGUAAGAUAAGAUGAAACAGAUACUACCUUGGUGCUGCAGAUGUUAAUGUGAGGAUGAUAUGUGACCUUUAGCAGCACAAACCAAUUUUAGACUAAGAUUUAUCUCCACUCUGUGCUUACCAUCUUCAUUUUAGGUUAAGUACACACAAAAAAGGCUAUUCUUGUUCAUCGUUCACAAGGUCUUCGUUUUACAGGAACUGUUCUAUCAAAUGUAGGUGUGCAAUGCGUGUGUGUUUGUACGUGAAAGAGAACGCCUGCAUUAAUGAUAAGCAGAGCAACCAUACUGUAAGUUUAGUGUCAUUACCAUGGAGACUAAUCCAAGCUGUUUCCAUUAAUAAACUUUUCUCUCUCAGCUUCUGUAGACUCUGGAGGAGGGCUGAACGGGAACUUGAGGUGUGAGAAAGAGAUCUAAAUAUAGAGUGACUUCAGAUCCAGACACUGCUGAUCAGAGGAGCUCUUACUCCCUCCUUCAAUGGUUGCAUUUGUGAAACGAUGUGGUCAAUCUGCUGGUUACCGCAGGCACUCAACUUUUUAUUGAGAUGAGCUUUUUUCCUGUUUUUGUUUUUAGUUGUGCAUGAGUGGGUUUGCAUGGAGAACAUGGACAAUUAAGCAGUGUUUCAUUUCAAGCUAAAUUUAGCCUCAUAUAAAAAAAAGUCUUCUGUGGAAAAGUGUUACAAGCUUACGCAAGUGGGAAUGACAUCAGUGUGAGCAAAAUGCUAUGGGAAAAAAUAAUAACAUUAUUAGUAAUAAGGAAGUUGAGAACAUGUUUUGUACCCCUUGAGGAUCAAAGGCACAAGCAUCUCGUAUCACCAAAAACAUUUCACAUAAUGUAUUUCAUUAAACAUGAAAAAAUGAAUAAAGGUGUACAAAAAAAGCAUUAUGUGAGGUGGUGGACAAACAACAG
Molecule: long non-coding RNA, 1731 nt
Filed under: Xyrichtys novacula (pearly razorfish)
Lineage: Eukaryota; Metazoa; Chordata; Actinopteri; Labriformes; Labridae
Source: RNAcentral